CCCACCUCGCAUAUAAUCAAACU
Molecule: non-coding RNA, 23 nt
Filed under: Arabidopsis thaliana (thale cress)
Lineage: Eukaryota; Viridiplantae; Streptophyta; Magnoliopsida; Brassicales; Brassicaceae
Source: RNAcentral